CCUACGGGAGGCAGCAGUGAGGAAUAUUGGUCAAUGGACGAGAGUCUGAACCAGCCAAGUAGCGUGAAGGAUGACUGCCCUAUGGGUUGUAAACUUCUUUUAUAUGGGAAUAAAAUGUUCCACGUGUGCGUUUUUGUAUGUACCAUAUGAAUAAGGAUCGGCUAACUCCGUGCCAGCAGCCGCGGUAAUACGGAGGAUCCGAGCGUUAUCCGGAUUUAUUGGGUUUAAAGGGAGCGUAGGUGGGUUGUUAAGUCAGUUGUGAAAGUUUGCGGCUCAACCGUAAAAUUGCAGUUGAAACUGGCAGUCUUGAGUACAGUAGAGGUGGGCGGAAUUCGUGGUGUAGCGGUGAAAUGCUUAGAUAUCACGAAGAACUCCGAUUGCGAAGGCAGCUCACUGGACUGUAACUGACACUGAGGCUCGAAAGUGUGGGUAUCAAACAGGAUUAGAUACCCCUGUAGUC
This 460-nucleotide ribosomal RNA is filed under the name uncultured bacterium. Its description in RNAcentral is "partial 16S ribosomal RNA". It matches the Rfam family "Bacterial small subunit ribosomal RNA", at positions 338 to 795 of the family's 1533-position model. The record is from RNAcentral.